This 200-nucleotide unclassified non-coding RNA is filed under the name soil metagenome. Its description in RNAcentral is "partial contains internal transcribed spacer 2 and large subunit ribosomal RNA". The record is from RNAcentral.
CAUUCGUGUCGGGGGGCUGUUGGGGAUCGACGACCGCCCAACGGCGGACGCCGUCCCCUAAAGCCAGUGGCAGCCUCGCCGCGGCCUCCUCGCGCAGUACACACUUCUCGCGGGCGGAGCCACAGUGACGGAUCGCCGUAAAACCCCCCAACUCUUUAAUGGUUGACCUCAGAUCAGGUAGGAAUACCCGCUGAACUUAA